RNAcentral lists this ribosomal RNA (303 nucleotides) under uncultured bacterium. Its description in RNAcentral is "partial 16S ribosomal RNA". It matches the Rfam family "Bacterial small subunit ribosomal RNA", at positions 507 to 809 of the family's 1533-position model. The record is from RNAcentral.
AGCAGUCGCCGCGGUAAUACGUAGGGGGCGAGCGUUGUCCGGAAUUACUGGGCGUAAAGGGCACGCAGGCUGUGCUUCAAGUCAGCUGUAAAAGGAUGCGGCUUAACCGUGUUAUGCAGUUGAGACUGAGGUGCUGGAGUACCGGAGAGGCAAGUGGAAUUCCCAGUGUAGCGGUGAAAUGCGUAGAUAUUGGGAAGAACAUCGGUGGCGAAGGCGACUUGCUGGACGGUAACUGACGCUGAGGUGCGAAAGCCAGGGUAGCGAACGGGAUUAGAUACCCCCGUAGUCCCUGUCUCUUAUACA